UAAGCCUGUGAAGGUGGCCUGUGAGGGUUGCUGGAGGUAUCAGAAGUGCGAAUGCUGACAUAAGUAACGAUAAAGCGGGUGAAAAGCCCGCUCGCCGGAAGACCAAGGGUUCCUGUCCAACGUUAAUCGGGGCAGGGUGAGUCGACCCCUAAGGCGAGGCCGAAAGGCGUAGUCGAUGGGAAACGGGUUAAUAUUCCCGUACUUGGUGUUACUGCGAAGGGGGGACGGAGAAGGCUAUGUUGGCCGGGCGACGGUUGUCCCGGUUUAAGCGUGUAGG
RNAcentral lists this ribosomal RNA (277 nucleotides) under Salmonella enterica subsp. enterica serovar Poona. RNAcentral describes it as "partial 23S ribosomal RNA". It matches the Rfam family "Bacterial large subunit ribosomal RNA", at positions 1243 to 1524 of the family's 2925-position model. The record is from RNAcentral. Lineage: Bacteria; Pseudomonadati; Pseudomonadota; Gammaproteobacteria; Enterobacterales; Enterobacteriaceae.